This 457-nucleotide ribosomal RNA is filed under the name uncultured organism. Its description in RNAcentral is "bacterial SSU rRNA". It matches the Rfam family "Bacterial small subunit ribosomal RNA", at positions 346 to 794 of the family's 1533-position model. The record is from RNAcentral.
GUGCAGCAGGCGAGAAUUUUUGACAAUGGGGGAAACCCUGAUCGAGCGACGCCGCGUGGAGGAUGAAGGUCUUCGGAUUGUAAACUCCUGUCAUUGGGGAACAAGGUGCAUACGUUAACUGCGUGUGUAUUGAUAGUACCCGGAAGAGGAAGGGACGGCUAACUCUGUGCCAGCAGCCGCGGUAAUACAGAGGUCCCAAGCGUUGUUCGGAUUCAUUGGGCGUAAAGGGUGCGUAGGCGGCGCGGUAAGUCGGGUGUGGAAAUCUCGGAGCUUAACUCCGAAACUGCAUUCGAUACUGCCGUGCUUGAGGACUGGAGAGGAGACUGGAAUUUACGGUGUAGCGGUGAAAUGCGUAGAUAUCGUAAGGAAGACCAGUGGCGAAGGCGGGUCUCUGGACAGUUCCUGACGCUGAGGCACGAAGGCCAGGGGAGCAAACGGGAUUAGAUACCCGUGUAGU